This 249-nucleotide ribosomal RNA is filed under the name uncultured bacterium. Its description in RNAcentral is "partial 16S ribosomal RNA". It matches the Rfam family "Bacterial small subunit ribosomal RNA", at positions 524 to 771 of the family's 1533-position model. The record is from RNAcentral.
UACGGAGGGGGCUAGCGUUGUUCGGAAUUACUGGGCGUAAAGCGCGCGUAGGCGGAUCUGCAAGUCGGGGGUGAAAUCCCGAGGCUCAACCUCGGAACUGCCUUCGAUACUGCGGGUCUCGAGUCCGGGAGAGGUGAGUGGAAUUCCGUAGUGUAGAGGUGAAAUUCGUAGAUAUUAGGAAGAACACCAGUGGCGAAGGCGGCUCACUGGCCCGGUACUGACGCUGAGGCGCGAAAGCGUGGGGAGCAA